UCAUUGACACUGAGGCACUGAUUGGCUGAUACAAAUUGGCCCGUCAAUGUUUCGGAUCCGUAGUAGUGUAUUACAUCUAAAAUUAGCACUAUAUAAUUAACUAAGAAGAUUGUCCGCAAAAAGAUAACUGAGAAGAUAAUUAAUACAAUUAACAAAGAAAAUAUUUAUUGCUAUUAAUAAAAUUAAUGAAGAAAAUGACUAGCCAAUUAAUCAGAUAAUUAAACCUUCACUAUAAAAGGACCCAUUGGCAUAUCAUAUUUGCUCUCAAUACGGAGAUACAAGCCCCCAAGAUUGUAAUACAAGAUCAGAUUAAAAAAAAAAUUGUAAUACAAGAUGAGGGCUACACAAGUUCUACUCCUAUUCCUUGUCCUCUUCGUCCUAUCCCCAGAUCUGGCAAAGGCUAAGCUGCACUGCACGGAUUUCAUCAUAGUCAACCAGUGCGACGUGGACGAGAUCACAUGCCAACAUUACUGCUACAGCCAGUUCAAUGGAACCGGCAAGUGCAUCCCCCACAAAGGAUGCCAGUGUCAUUUCUGCUAUGCAACUCCACCCAAGCCAUCGCCUGCUAGCAGCUCCUAGUCGUAGUUUUCUCUUUAAUUUCCUGUUUCUUCAAGGUCAAUGUACAACAGUUAUGAACAUGAUUCGUUUCUAGUGCAACAACUAUGGCAUGAUUAAUUACAUGUACUGUGGCCUAUACCGCGAAGUUAUAUGUUAAUGCAAUGCCUGUUUUGCUUUA
Molecule: long non-coding RNA, 736 nt
Organism: Aegilops tauschii subsp. strangulata
Lineage: Eukaryota; Viridiplantae; Streptophyta; Magnoliopsida; Poales; Poaceae
Source: RefSeq, a predicted model, not a curated record